UGUACAAAUAUACUAAAAUCUCACAUUAUGG
This 31-nucleotide non-coding RNA is filed under the name Rattus norvegicus (Norway rat). The record is from RNAcentral. Lineage: Eukaryota; Metazoa; Chordata; Mammalia; Rodentia; Muridae.